Non-coding RNA from Pocillopora verrucosa, 618 nucleotides. The record is from RefSeq and is a predicted model, not a curated record. Lineage: Eukaryota; Metazoa; Cnidaria; Anthozoa; Scleractinia; Pocilloporidae.
GUUCAAACGUCGAUUGAUGAUUCAGAUAACAUCAGCGAUUAUGAAAAUUUAGAGGUGACAUUGGCACCGAAAGAAAAGGGUAAAUCGCCCAAGGAUCUCUGUUUUACGGACGAGGCGACAGAACUGAGCACUGUCUAAGUUCCUCCUGAAUGGCUUUCAAAAUUCCAACUACCAUCGAGGUUCUCUGCCUCAGUAGAGUUGGAUACCCAGAAGGGAUAUCUCAUCAGCAGCCUAAAGUACUCUGAGCAACAAUGGAUUGCAAAAUUAUUGCAGAGUAUCCUUGUAUGGUUAGCAGGAUACUAGACUAAGUUGACUUGGAAACUGAAUGGAUUGGUAUGGUCUAAAAAUCUAUUGCUUCACCUCUUCUGCUUGUAGUGAAGAGAGACAAUUUUGUGGUGCUGAAUCUCUUGCCUUAAACUAAAAAGUUGCAAAAUAAUCACUCUCACCUUUUAAAUUCAUGACCUUUGUUCUUGUGUGUUUGUCAUCACAUGCAUUUAAUGAAGUUGUGACCAUUUUGGAGGUAUAAGUCCAAAAAACUGCUACUUUGGUACUAAGAUGAACAGCUAAAAUUUCUGAGCCCAUUUGCCAAUGAAGUCCAGAUACAAAGGUUCAAGUACU